Molecule: ribosomal RNA, 349 nt
Filed under: uncultured Methylobacterium sp.
Lineage: Bacteria; Pseudomonadati; Pseudomonadota; Alphaproteobacteria; Hyphomicrobiales; Methylobacteriaceae
Description: bacterial SSU rRNA
Rfam family: Bacterial small subunit ribosomal RNA
Source: RNAcentral
CACUUCGGUGUCAGCGGCAGACGGGUGAGUAACACGUGGGAACGUGCCCUUCGGUUCGGAAUAACUCAGGGAAACUUGAGCUAAUACCGGAUACGCCCUUUUGGGGAAAGGUUUACUGCCGAAGGAUCGGCCCGCGUCUGAUUAGCUCGUUGGUGGGGUAACGGCCUACCAAGGCGACGAUCAGUAGCUGGUCUGAGAGGAUGAUCAGCCACACUGGGACUGAGACACGGCCCAGACUCCUACGGGAGGCAGCAGUGGGGAAUAUUGGACAAUGGGCGCAAGCCUGAUCCAGCCAUGCCGCGUGAGUGAUGAAGGCCUUAGGGUUGUAAAGCUCUUUUGUCCGGGACGA